AUGGGUUCAAUAAACAAAAUUGCCACAUUCGGGCUUGCCCCCCACCUAACCCUACAAAGCUUUGGACCUCAUUCCCAAUUGUUCCCUAAUUCUGAGGCGGGUAGAAAAUCAGGCGAGGUGAGCGGCCAAAUCGGAAUAUUCUAAGACGCCCCCACGGGACGCCGGCCACACCAGGCACAGGAGUCGCUCCUCAUAGCGAGUCUGGUGCGGCCUACGCGCGGCGCUUCCUUUCGGACCUGAGGCCCAGACCCUCAAAAUAGAGGGAGCGGAUAAGGAAGUCAUAAUAUUAAUGAACUCUGAGGACUGCUAUGAGGAUAAAAUGGGAUCAUCAUCAUCAUCAUCAUCACUUACUCAAUGCGUACUACAAUCCUGGCACUCCUCUAAGUGUUACAAAUAUAUUAACUCCAACAAUAACUCCAGAAGAAAUCCUAGUAUUGCAUAAGUGAUCUUCAUGAAGCUUCCUAUUCCCUGUGGAGUUUGGAAGGAGAGGCAUUCCUGUAGGCUUCUGCUGAGAAGGGAAGAAGAGUCUUCCUGCUUGGACACUGGGCUUCUGAAAAGGCCAUGUGCUCUCCUAUCUCACAGUUUUCUUUCUUUUACUUUUUUUGUUUGUCUUUUUUCUCUUUUUUUAUUCUUUUUUUCUUACCUCACAGUCUUGUAUGUGUUUUGACUGUCACAAGAAUGAGCAUUGGACGUGGUAGAAAAAAUUCUUGGAUUAGUGCCUCUCAUUAGUCCCUAAAAAUACAUAUGUAUCUGGCCCCAACUCCUGGUGACUCUCUAAGCUUAUGAUGCAUUUUUUGGUAUGUUUUGUAUACAGUUUUGAGCUUCCGCAAUGAUUUUUAAAACAGGACAAAAUCCCAUAUGAACCUUCUGUUAUACUCCAUUAAAUUGUCAAUACCAGAGAUACAGGAAAAUUAUUUUCUCAUUCUAACUUUAUAUACCCAAUAUCUAACAAAGCAGCUGCAAAAUGGUUGCUACUCAAUAAAUAUUUGUUGAAUGAAUGAAGGAAUGAAAAGCCAAAUGUAAUACAUAGAAAAGUUGAUUAUAAAUUCUUUGGUACAAAAUAGACAGACAAAACAUAAUCUAGGAAAUAUGCACCCUGAGAAAUUGCUAUCAUCAUCUUAAUACCUUAUAACAACGAAAGUUCUUAAACUGGUCCCCUUAAUACCAUUGUGUUUAUUUUCUGUAUGUUUAUACUUUUAUGCUUUGGUUUCAUUUUCUACUUAUUAGUUAAAUGAUUAUGAGAACUGUGGGGAUAAAUUUAAAACAUUACUGUGUUUCUAUAGAGAGUUCUGCUGUAAUGCAGUGAUUAUGAAAUGAUCUCAAAUCUAUUCAGAAUUAUUAAAAGGUACAGUUCAAUAAAUAUUUUUAUUUUUGUUAAUUCUUCCCCAAAUCACAUUAAAACGAUCCUUUUGCACUUAAGUGAUUUCGUCAGUUUUGUAUUCAUUUUAAAUGCCAGAUUCUUUUUCUAAGAUUCAAAGUUUCUGAAAACUUUAUUUUUAAGCAAUAUAUUCUGAGAAGACUUAAAUCUAAAUUCAAUUGUUCAGAUAAAUAUGAAUACAAUUUAAUAAAAAGUACUGAAUGCUGUGUUUUAUAAUUCCUUAGAAAAUUUGGGAACAUUACUAGGUUCCCAAGUAGAUUGAUAAUACCUGAGAGAUCAGCCGUGACCAACAUUUAGUUACAUUAACAGGAAUACUUGAUAUGAGCAAAUCCGUACAUAUUUUUAUUAAAAGUGCAAAUAUAAAUAAUUAAAUGAUUCUGUUCUAAUGCCCUUCAUUCCAAUGCCUAGAACAGGAAAAAAGACAUGAACCUCUUUAAGAAGUCAUGUUCAAAAAAUUGCUAGUAGUUUACAGAGAUUACUGAAGAAACAACUGUCAAACUCAGCCAAUUGCUUAUCAGGAGUGGGCUUAGAAAGGCAAGUUACCAGGGAAACCUCUUCCUCACUGGAAAAGGAUAAAUGUGUACUAGGAGUCCACAUAUGGCAAGACUGUAAUCUUGCUAUGCUUUAAUUUUAUCUAGGUUAGCCACAGUGGAGAAAACACUGUAGAGACUAGAAGCUAAGAGUGCAGAAGGGCAAAAGCAAUUUUUAUAACUUUAAGUUGAUUAUUAGUACUACUAAUAAUGCUAAUGGUAGUGCUUACACUAUUAACAAAAAUAAUUAUAAACACUUACAAAGCACUCUGUCUUAGUCAUUUGGGCUGCUGUAACAAAAAUACCAUAGAGUGGGUAGCUUAAACAACAAAUAUUUAUUUCUUACAUUUCUGGAAGUUGGGAUCAAAGUGUGAGCAGAUUCAGUGUCUGGUGAGGGCUUGCUUCCUGGUGCAUAGAUGGCCAUCUUCUUGCUGUGUUUUUUUUUUUUUUUUUUUUUUUUUAAGAUGGAGUCUCGCUCUGUCACUCUGUUGCCCAGGUUGGAGUGCAGUGGUGUGAUCUCGGCUCACUGAGACCUCUGCCUCAGGGGUUCAGGUGAUUCUCCUGCCUCAGCCUCAUGAGUAGCUGGGACUACAGGCACUUGCCACCACGCCCAGCUAAUUUUUGUAUUUUUAGUAGAGACGGGGUUUCCAUAACAAUGGAAAUUAGGCUAUAGUAUAUAAAUUUUAGGGGGACACAUCCAUUCGAUAGCCUGCUCUAUAGUUUAAAAAUUGCACUCUUUUGAAUUCUGUCUUUUGGGAGACAUUAUUGCCAUCAGUCUCAUAAUAGAGAUGAGAAAACUAAAGUUAAGUGCAUUAGCUGUGGUCAUACAGGGGUUAAUCAAGAGCCCAGAAGUUGUAUUCAAUCUCCUUGAUUCUAGUGCAUACUCCUUUUGCAUAUUACUCAUUUUUCUAAAAUCAUGUUAACUCCUCUUCUUGCUAGUAAGAAGAUGCAGUGGUAGAUUUAUCAUGAAUUAAAGGAAGUAUAGUUUCAGGCACCCUCACUUGCAUAAGCCCAUUCCAAUGUCUUGGAGUAGCCCUAAUAGUGUUCAUAUAUUUAUGUAAAUUUAUACAUAUAUACACAAAUAUAUGUAUAUAUUUAUAUAUUUAUGUAAAGUUAUACAUGUACACAUAAACAUUUAUAUUUUUUAAUCUAAAUAUAUGU
This 3069-nucleotide long non-coding RNA is filed under the name Homo sapiens (human). Its description in RNAcentral is "HSALNT0008567". The record is from RNAcentral. Lineage: Eukaryota; Metazoa; Chordata; Mammalia; Primates; Hominidae.